Molecule: microRNA, 22 nt
Filed under: Lottia gigantea (owl limpet)
Lineage: Eukaryota; Metazoa; Mollusca; Gastropoda; Lottiidae
Also listed under: 1 other name
Description: lgi-miR-1175-5p
Source: miRBase by way of RNAcentral
AGUGGAGAGAGUUUUAUCUCAU